CGGAGGCAGCAGUGGGGAAUAUUGCGCAAUGGGCGAAAGCCUGACGCAGCAACGCCGCGUGGGGGAUGAAGGUUCUCGGAUUGUAAACCCCUUUCGAUCGGAACGAAUCCCCUCCUGGUAAAUAAUCAGGAGGAUCGACGGUACCGAGAGAAGAAGCCACGGCUAACUCUGUGCCAGCAGCCGCGGUAAGACAGAGGUGGCAAGCGUUGUUCGGAUUUAUUGGGCGUAAAGCGCACGCAGGCGGUUUGGUAAGUCAGAGGUGAAAGGCUACAGCUUAACUGUGGUAUUGCCUUCGAUACUGCCUUUCUUGGGUAGAGUAGGGGGAAGCGGAAUUCCGAGUGUAGAGGUGAAAUUCGUAGAUAUUCGGAGGAACACCGGUGGCGAAGGCGGCUUCCUGGACUCUAACUGACGCUCAUGUGCGAAAGCGUGGGGAGCAAACAGGAUUAGAAACCCCAGUAGUCCU
This 463-nucleotide ribosomal RNA is filed under the name uncultured bacterium. RNAcentral's name for it is "bacterial SSU rRNA". It matches the Rfam family "Bacterial small subunit ribosomal RNA", at positions 343 to 797 of the family's 1533-position model. The record is from RNAcentral.